Molecule: ribosomal RNA, 253 nt
Filed under: uncultured bacterium
Lineage: Bacteria
Description: partial 16S ribosomal RNA
Rfam family: Bacterial small subunit ribosomal RNA
Source: RNAcentral
UACAGAGGUGGCAAGCGUUGUUCGGAAUUACUGGGCGUAAAGGGCGCGUAGGCGGUCUUGUCAGUCCCUUGUGAAAUCCCCCGGCUCAACUGGGGAACUGCAAGGGAAACAGCAGGGCUUGAGUUCGGGAGAGGGAAGCGGAAUUCCGGGUGUAGCGGUGAAAUGCGUAGAUAUCCGGAGGAACACCGGUGGCGAAGGCGGCUUCCUGGACCGACACUGACGCUGAGGCGCGAAAGCCAGGGGAGCGAACGGG